This 270-nucleotide ribosomal RNA is filed under the name uncultured archaeon. RNAcentral describes it as "partial 16S ribosomal RNA". It matches the Rfam family "Archaeal small subunit ribosomal RNA", at positions 477 to 747 of the family's 1478-position model. The record is from RNAcentral.
CAGCACCUCAAGUGGUCAGGAUGAUUAUUGGGCCUAAAGCAUCCGUAGCCUGCCUUGUUAGUUUUCGGUUAAAUCCAUACGCUCAACGUAUGGGCUGCCGGGAAUACUGCAAAGCUAGGGAGUGGGAGAGGUAGACGGUACUCGGUAGGAAGGGGUAAAAUCCUUUGAUCUAUUGAUGACCACCUGUGGCGAAGGCGGUCUACCAGAACACGUCCGACGGUGAGGGAUGAAAGCUGGGGGAGCAAACCGGAUUAGAUACCCGAGUAGUCC